This 337-nucleotide unclassified non-coding RNA is filed under the name soil metagenome. RNAcentral's name for it is "partial contains 5.8S ribosomal RNA, internal transcribed spacer 2, and large subunit ribosomal RNA". The stretch from base 1 to 120 matches the Rfam family "5.8S ribosomal RNA", at positions 35 to 154 of the family's 154-position model. The record is from RNAcentral.
GAUGAAGAACGUAGCGAAAUGCGAUAAGUAGUGUGAAUUGCAGAAUUCAGUGAAUCAUCGAAUCUUUGAACGCACAUUGCGCCCCAUGGUAUUCCGUGGGGCAUGCCUGUUCGAGCGUCAUUUACCCCCUCAAGCUCCGCUUGGUGUUGGGCGUCUGUCCCGCUUCGCGCGCGGACUCGCCCCAAAGGUAUUGGCAGCGGUCGUGCCAGCUUCUCGCGCAGCACAUUGCGCUUCUCGAGGCACCGGUGGGCCCGCGUCCAUCAAGCUCACCCCCCCAGUUUGACCUCGGCUCAGGUAGGGAUACCCGCUGAACUUAAGCAUAUCAAUAAGCGGAGGA